UUAAGUUAUUAAGGGCGCACGGUGGAUGCCUUGGCACUAGAAGCCGAUGAAGGACGUUACUAACGACGAUAUGCUUUGGGGAGCUGUAAGUAAGCUUUGAUCCAGAGAUUUCCGAAUGGGGAAACCCAGCAUGAGUUAUGUCAUGUUAUCGAUAUGUGAAUACAUAGCAUAUCAGAAGGCACACCCGGAGAACUGAAACAUCUUAGUACCCGGAGGAAGAGAAAGAAAAUUCGAUUCCCUUAGUAGCGGCGAGCGAAACGGGAAGAGCCCAAACCAACAAGCUUGCUUGUUGGGGUUGUAGGACACUCUAUACGGAGUUACAAAGGACGACAUUAGACGAAUCAUCUGGAAAGAUGAAUCAAAGAAGGUAAUAAUCCUGUAGUCGAAAAUGUUGUCUCUCUUGAGUGGAUCCUGAGUACGACGGAGCACGUGAAAUUCCGUCGGAAUCUGGGAGGACCAUCUCCUAAGGCUAAAUACUCUCUAGUGACCGAUAGUGAACCAGUACCGUGAGGGAAAGGUGAAAAGCACCCCGGAAGGGGAGUGAAAUAGAACCUGAAACCGUGUGCUUACAAGUAGUCAGAGCCCGUUAAUGGGUGAUGGCGUGCCUUUUGUAGAAUGAACCGGCGAGUUACGAUUUGAUGCAAGGUUAAGCAGUAAAUGUGGAGCCGUAGCGAAAGCGAGUCUGAAUAGGGCGUUUAGUAUUUGGUCGUAGACCCGAAACCAGGUGAUCUACCCUUGGUCAGGUUGAAGUUCAGGUAACACUGAAUGGAGGACCGAACCGACUUACGUUGAAAAGUGAGCGGAUGAACUGAGGGUAGCGGAGAAAUUCCAAUCGAACCUGGAGAUAGCUGGUUCUCUCCGAAAUAGCUUUAGGGCUAGCCUCAAGUGAUGAUUAUUGGAGGUAGAGCACUGUUUGGACGAGGGGCCCCUCUCGGGUUACCGAAUUCAGACAAACUCCGAAUGCCAAUUAAUUUAACUUGGGAGUCAGAACAUGGGUGAUAAGGUCCGUGUUCGAAAGGGAAACAGCCCAGACCACCAGCUAAGGUCCCAAAAUAUAUGUUAAGUGGAAAAGGAUGUGGCGUUGCCCAGACAACUAGGAUGUUGGCUUAGAAGCAGCCAUCAUUUAAAGAGUGCGUAAUAGCUCACUAGUCGAGUGACACUGCGCCGAAAAUGUACCGGGGCUAAACAUAUUACCGAAGCUGUGGAUUGUCCUUUGGACAAUGGUAGGAGAGCGUUCUAAGGGCGUUGAAGCAUGAUCGUAAGGACAUGUGGAGCGCUUAGAAGUGAGAAUGCCGGUGUGAGUAGCGAAAGACGGGUGAGAAUCCCGUCCACCGAUUGACUAAGGUUUCCAGAGGAAGGCUCGUCCGCUCUGGGUUAGUCGGGUCCUAAGCUGAGGCCGACAGGCGUAGGCGAUGGAUAACAGGUUGAUAUUCCUGUACCACCUAUAAUCGUUUUAAUCGAUGGGGGGACGCAGUAGGAUAGGCGAAGCGUGCGAUUGGAUUGCACGUCUAAGCAGUAAGGCUGAGUAUUAGGCAAAUCCGGUACUCGUUAAGGCUGAGCUGUGAUGGGGAGAAGACAUUGUGUCUUCGAGUCGUUGAUUUCACACUGCCGAGAAAAGCCUCUAGAUAGAAAAUAGGUGCCCGUACCGCAAACCGACACAGGUAGUCAAGAUGAGAAUUCUAAGGUGAGCGAGCGAACUCUCGUUAAGGAACUCGGCAAAAUGACCCCGUAACUUCGGGAGAAGGGGUGCUCUUUAGGGUUAACGCCCAGAAGAGCCGCAGUGAAUAGGCCCAAGCGACUGUUUAUCAAAAACACAGGUCUCUGCUAAACCGUAAGGUGAUGUAUAGGGGCUGACGCCUGCCCGGUGCUGGAAGGUUAAGAGGAGUGGUUAGCUUCUGCGAAGCUACGAAUCGAAGCCCCAGUAAACGGCGGCCGUAACUAUAACGGUCCUAAGGUAGCGAAAUUCCUUGUCGGGUAAGUUCCGACCCGCACGAAAGGCGUAACGAUUUGGGCACUGUCUCAACGAGAGACUCGGUGAAAUCAUAGUACCUGUGAAGAUGCAGGUUACCCGCGACAGGACGGAAAGACCCCGUGGAGCUUUACUGUAGCCUGAUAUUGAAAUUCGGCACAGCUUGUACAGGAUAGGUAGGAGCCUUUGAAACGUGAGCGCUAGCUUACGUGGAGGCGCUGGUGGGAUACUACCCUAGCUGUGUUGGCUUUCUAACCCGCACCACUUAUCGUGGUGGGAGACAGUGUCAGGCGGGCAGUUUGACUGGGGCGGUCGCCUCCUAAAAGGUAACGGAGGCGCUCAAAGGUUCCCUCAGAAUGGUUGGAAAUCAUUCAUAGAGUGUAAAGGCAUAAGGGAGCUUGACUGCGAGACCUACAAGUCGAGCAGGGUCGAAAGACGGACUUAGUGAUCCGGUGGUUCCGCAUGGAAGGGCCAUCGCUCAACGGAUAAAAGCUACCCCGGGGAUAACAGGCUUAUCUCCCCCAAGAGUUCACAUCGACGGGGAGGUUUGGCACCUCGAUGUCGGCUCAUCGCAUCCUGGGGCUGUAGUCGGUCCCAAGGGUUGGGCUGUUCGCCCAUUAAAGCGGUACGCGAGCUGGGUUCAGAACGUCGUGAGACAGUUCGGUCCCUAUCCGUCGUGGGCGUAGGAAAUUUGAGAGGAGCUGUCCUUAGUACGAGAGGACCGGGAUGGACAUACCUCUGGUGUACCAGUUGUCGUGCCAACGGCAUAGCUGGGUAGCUAUGUGUGGACGGGAUAAGUGCUGAAAGCAUCUAAGCAUGAAGCCCCCCUCAAGAUGAGAUUUCCCAACUUCGGUUAUAAGAUCCCUCAAAUAUGAUGAGGUUAAUAGGUUCGAGGUGGAAGCAUGGUGACAUGUGGAGCUGACGAAUACUAAUCGAUCGAAGACUUAAUCAA
This 2921-nucleotide ribosomal RNA is filed under the name Staphylococcus aureus M0877. RNAcentral describes it as "bacterial LSU rRNA". It matches the Rfam family "Bacterial large subunit ribosomal RNA". The record is from RNAcentral. Lineage: Bacteria; Bacillati; Bacillota; Bacilli; Caryophanales; Staphylococcaceae.